AAGUGUUCCAGCUCUUUCGGAAUUUGUCUAGCAGGUUUUCUGCUUUUCAUUAGAAAACCCCC
Molecule: small nuclear RNA, 62 nt
Organism: Cercocebus atys (sooty mangabey)
Lineage: Eukaryota; Metazoa; Chordata; Mammalia; Primates; Cercopithecidae
Gene: U7
Rfam family: U7 small nuclear RNA
About the family: Animal histone pre-mRNAs are spliced by a different mechanism than nuclear pre-mRNAs and self-splicing introns. This processing involves the U7 snRNP, which contains only one RNA species: U7.
Source: Ensembl